CAAGGAACAUGCAACUAAACAGCUUGCAUUCGUCGCCCCGGAGACGGUGUGUGUGCGGAUGCUCAGCUGCGAUCUAAAGUCUAAAACGACUCUCGGCAACGGAUAUCUCGGCUCUCGCAUCGAUGAAGAACGUAGCGAAAUGCGAUACUUGGUGUGAAUUGCA
Molecule: ribosomal RNA, 163 nt
Filed under: Solms-laubachia baiogoinensis
Lineage: Eukaryota; Viridiplantae; Streptophyta; Magnoliopsida; Brassicales; Brassicaceae
Description: 5.8S ribosomal RNA
Rfam family: 5.8S ribosomal RNA (bases 88-163)
Source: RNAcentral